UAAAGCUAUUUCCCUGGGGCUUCAGGAAAGCUCCACCCAGUCCUAAUUCUCAUUUUACUCUAGAGAAAACACGAGGACUUUUCUUCUUUCUUCUUCUUUUUCUUUUUCAAGGCUGUCUUUUUGUUUCUUUUUUUUUUUAAGUUUUCUGUAUCUGUCAGAAUCUUGAUUUCAGGAAAGCUUCAUUUUCACUUCGUGACUGAUGGCUGAACAGGUGGCUUCUGAAUUUACAAGUGUCAUAUGAACAAGCCGUUUAGAAAUGGACAAUUUGCAGCUCACUUUCUCCUGCUGACAGCCCUUUUUUCUGCUGACAGAUUCUUGCCUCUUCCAGCCAAAUAAAUUCAUGGAGAAUCUGCCCACGCCCCUUGUGUUGCCGCCCCCCGCUCCCCCAGCCAACAAAACAUCAUUAGGAGGGGGAAAAAGAACAGAGCCCAUCUCUUGAGAGCUGCUAGCCAUGAAAUGGAACAAACUUUACUGUUCAAGGCUUCUUUGCUCGCUCGGCCUCGGCUUUCUGUUCUUGCACAUCUGCACUUAAUUCUGCUUAGUAGGAGGCUGAUCCAAAGCCCACUAAAACCAGUGGAAAUUUUCAUCCUUGCUUCAACAGUGUGGAUCAGGUUGUAAGCAGUGUUCCCUGUAACCUGAGCUCUUGUACAGCCACCCAGGAGAGACUUAGAAGCCGGCCAACUGAUUAGCAGAGCACCGACAGCUAGGUUUUUUUGUUUCUACUGGAGGUGUACAUGUGCACGUCCCUCAAUGCACAUUAAAUUAUUCUGCACACUUGUGGAAAAGAUUAGAGGGAACAUUGGUCCUAAGGGAUCUCCCUGUCCCAUGGACCUGACAGAAGCCUGAAGAGAGAAAAUGAGACUAACAGGAACACCAGGCUCCUGCCAGCACAAGGUGAGUUAAAAGCGCCAAGUCCAGGCUUCUCUCAAUCUCCCCGUCUGCCUUCCAGCCCCCGUGGUGUCCCACUGAACAGAAGCAGCAUCUCUAAGCCAACACUGAUGAAAUCGUGUUGGGGAAGGAGCGAACUGGAGGACCUGACAGAUCUCUCCUUUUGUACCGACCUGUCCUACGCAUGCCUUCAACUCCCACUGCUCCAGUGACUCCAGGUGGUUUGAAGAAUGCAGUUUGAACAAUCUCCGCAGAAUCAGCCCCAUUUUAAAUAGUGUUUACAUCUCUGCACUCAUUCCUUCCCCUCUCCACUGCAGUAAUAAAUGUCACUGCCCUCUCCUUCCAUCUCCAUCUCAUACUCCCAUCUUCACAACUCCUUCCAGCUCUCGGAUUGUCUCCCUUGCUGUUUAAUCACCCAGCAACCCCAUAUCACCAUCCUCUCUCACCAACUGCUGUGCUGGUGCAGGUCCAUACAAAGAGGUUCUGAUGCCUAGUCUACACUUGAAACUUGCCAGAAUAGCUACAUUGAUCCAAGAUAUGAUUCUUUUCCCCACUCCUUAAACAAUGUAGCUAUACUGCCAAAAGCUCUAGGGUAGUAAGCUAUACAAGCAAAAAAUGAGCUUUUGCCAGUAUAGCUUAUUUCAUUCAGGGCACUGAUAUAAAUGCCACUGGAAAAAGCACGCUUUGCCAGUAUAACAUCCAUCUCCACUAGAAGGUAGUGGAGUAUAACAUCCAUCUCAUUCUAGUGUAGACAAGGCCUAAUACAGAGCCUUCAGCUGAGUGCCCCAGUGCAUAUAGGUUUGGUUUACUAUGUCCAUUGUCUUAGAUUGUGAAGUGCUCAGAAACAGAGCUAUGUUCUUUGUGUCUUGUACAAAUGAUCACCAAUAUAAAUCCAUGCCAGAGAAUAUUUAACUGGAAAGGAAAAAUGAUAUGGUGAGUAAAGCCCAGGAAAGGGACUUGGGAGAUGUGGGUUCAAUUUGCCAUGAACCCCUUAGACUACCUUAGGCAAGUCAUUUCAUCUAUCUGUGCCUCAGUUUCCCUUCUGUACACUGGAGAUAACAAUGCUCCCUUUCUCUGUCUGGUCUAGCUAAAGGACUGCCUCUUACAAUGUGUUCAUAUUGGGCAUGGCACAAUGAGUCCCGGAUCCUGUUGCAGCCUGUAUAUUGUGAUACAAUCAACAAUUAUAGCAGAGACUAUUCAAUAGAAACAAAGCACAGGUAAAGCUUAGAGUUGGUCAAAAAUAUCAAUGAUUAUUAAAGAUAACAAAUAAUAAUUUUCCUAUGAAGAGUCUUCACUUUCCAACCAAAACAAAACAGAGAAUUUCAGCCGAAAUGAAAACAUUCCAUAAAACAAGCUGGACAAAAAAGUUCUUCUAUUAAGAAAUGUUUCUACCCACUUUCACUGUGGUCCCAAUAUCUAUAACACCUACGUACCGUUUGGUUUACACAAUUCAUUUUUUGCUCAUUUCUAAGGGCCUUGUGCAUGAGUUUGUUGACACCAGGGAUGCAGGUCUUGGAAGUCUGUCUCGAUCACCCUCACCAACUCUGUAACAUGGGCCACAUUCCAUCGAAGUCUCUGUGGGUCACAGGUGCCUCCCCAUGUAUUCAGGCCAUCAGCGUUUAUUUUUAGCAAGUGAGCAUUACCAACCGAACACUCCUGCCAUUAGGGAGAGAGAUGGGUUUGAAUGGAAAAUCAGCAGCUUCAUCUACACUAUAAAGGAAGAAUGUGUGAUUGGAUUUGCUUAUUGGAAACACAAAAGCACGACUGAGAGGACAGCAAAGCAGAAAGCCUGCAAAACUUUGACAGAGGGGCUCUCUUUCGGGGAGCCUCCUGUGAGGCUCAGGAUUCAAAAUUUGACAGAGCGGAAGCCUGGACAUGUGUGAAACAGGGGCUAUUUUCCUGCAAUUCUGCAGGAAAAUAGGAGCACGGAGACACGCUGCCUGUCUGGAGUUCCAUAAAACAGAUCUUUUCCUUGUCAUUAAGAAUAUUGAUGUUCAUUAGGCCCGGGCGUCAACGAGUCUUUGUGCAAAUGAAACGAAAUCUGAGUCAAAUUGUGACCCUGAGUCCAACACAUAACCGCAGACUUGCUGGGAUCUGGCGAUUCAGUUGCCCCCACCAGCACAUUCACAGACAAUCCCUUUCCUAAGACAAAAAUCUACCUAAAUAUAGUAAUUGGUCCUAAAUGACAGUUCCAGGAAUGACAAAAAAUUGUGCUUGGUGGAGAUAGGAAUUAUAAUACAGGGGGAGCAGAAUAGGGUGACUUUGGGGUGGUCUCUCAAGACAGAUGCUUCCCUACUAUCUUACUUCCCCACUAGCCCAGAUUCUGGACUACCACCAGCUGUUAGGAGGUAAAGUUCUUUUUUUGAUAUAGGGCUUUGCUGGGUGCUUGAGGUUGAUUUUCCUCCUGUACAAAUAGCUGGCUAAUAAAUGAAGCUUGAGCCCCGUAAUUCACUGCAAGCCGGUUUGAUGGAGCCCUUUUAGUGUGACGGGUGCUUUUCGGCGCUAACGUCUCGUUGAUAUUAACAGUCGUGCACAUGGAGUGAAAUCUGCAAUAUAUAAACCAACGGCUUGCUAAAUAUUUCUAGGAUUGCACGUCUCACUGUCCCAUUCAUUUCCUUGACCUUUCAUAGGGGUAAUGGGGAGAAGGGGGAAGGAGAAGGAGGUGCUGGAGCAUGGUACUUUCCAAAAUGUGAACAUGGUGCAGCCAAACUGGCUCCCCCAGACUUGGAUGCUGAGGCUUGGAGCUAAGGACCUGUUCCUUUCACGCCUGCAUUUCAUAAAAAUAAAUAAAGAGAAACCAGCUCUGGCAGCGGGCAGGCUUGCUUGAGCAUUGUCUGAAUAGGGACUGGCAAACAUCUCUCCAUAAGAGCCUGCUCUGCCACGAACAUGCACAUCACUGGGUUCAUCCCUUAUUCUGGAUCAACACAACAGCCAAUUUGAUCACUAUAUCCCAGCAGACUCCAUGCACAGCUGUUUCUUAGGGAGGGUACCACGACCUAGCAAUAAAAGAAAAGAAUAAGCCAAGAAGAUGCCUGGAUUCUGUUCCUGGCUCUGCCACUGAUUUGCUGUGUGAUCUUGGGCAAAUCAUUUUCCCUGUGCCUCAGUUUUGCCCCACCUGUUAAACAAAACAAACGUGUAACAAACCCUCCUACACUAAACCAUGAUGAGGCUUAGUGCUUGGAAAGCACUUUGAGAUCUUUAGCUACAAAACAUGACAAAAAGAGGCAAGUAUGGUAACUGAACCUUAGAUAACUGGGCUUUGCAGAAGCCCGGUGUGUAGGAAGAUACCACUCCUAUACCUGCAGCAUGAUGGGGGGCAGCUGGUGUGGAAUUCUGGGGCUCUACAAAGAAUAGGGGUGGUGCUGGCACUUGGAUAGAAGGUCACAGCUCCGAUGUGGCACGAUGACAUUUGGUCUAAUAACUGCACUGAGCUGAUGGAGUCUGGCAAACGACAAAUCCUUUCUUUGUGCUUGUCUCAUUAUUCAGCCCUUAAAUGGUUAAACACCCUCUGUGUUCACUUAAACUGUCACUUUGCAGAGCUGCCAAAAUAUUUUGAUGGCUUGUACCAGAUCUCCUUGGCAGACUGUUCUUUCAGAUGAAUGAGAGACUUUGGACUGCCUAGCAAUGAAUAAUGCAUAACCAAGGCGCCCCCUACUGACUACCAGGAUCCUUAGCAGAGUUACAAACCUCAAAGUUGCAACACAAAACCACAGAAGGUCUCAUAUUAGGUACUUCUGAACAAGUCCCCAAAGGAUGUUUCUCUCUAUAUAUCCAUAUCUUACUGCCUCCAUUCAAGAUGGAAUUGGGGGGAGAUCUUUCCAUAUGCCUGCAGAUCUGCUUAGGUGACAAGGAAUCAGUCACAGUUAAAGGAAGAUGUUUAUAGGUAAAUGAUGGUGAAUUUCGAUUUUACCAUACACCCGCAAACUAAGAAAAGAUAUUUCCAUCAAUAGCAAUCAAAAUGUACAGACAGGCAAAGUAAGAAAAAUGCCGCCUGAGAACUUAUUAGAGUUUGAUUUAAGGAUAUUGACUUUGCAUAUUUUGACGUGUAAUGUUGACAAUUUAAGUUGUAAUGGUUAUAAAAUUUGAACUUUUUGAAUCUCGGUGUAUAUGGUCAUUAAAUAAUUAUCAUCAAAGGCCACCUCCCCCACUGUUUGAGCAUUCCAUAAUUUCUUGAAACUGGGAAAAUUUAAAUUGAUAAAAAUCAGGAAAAAAUGCUUAAAAUCAACAUAGAUAAAUGUCUGACAAUUUUUUUAAAAAUAACUGAAUUUUUCCAAGCCUAGUUAAAGGACUUUGGACAAACUGCGCUUGCAGGCUAUAUAUCACUGGUAGUAACUAGAAGCACUGAAGUGGGGCAUUAUAGAAUGAUGCAUGUGUUAGGAAAUGGUCAGACUUUAAAACGAAAGAACCACAUACACCCUAAGGGACACCUAUGGGCUCAGAUCAGGUCUGAAUA
Pelodiscus sinensis (Chinese soft-shelled turtle) is the source of this 5341-nucleotide non-coding RNA. The record is from RefSeq and is a predicted model, not a curated record. Lineage: Eukaryota; Metazoa; Chordata; Testudines; Trionychidae.